UACGAAGGGGGCUAGCGUUGCUCGGAAUCACUGGGCGUAAAGCGCACGUAGGCGGAUUUCUAAGUCAGGGGUGAAAUCCUGGAGCUCAACUCCAGAACUGCCUUUGAUACUGGGAAUCUCGAGUCCGGGAGAGGUGAGUGGAACUGCGAGUGUUGAGGUGAAAUUCGUAGAUAUUCGCAAGAACACCAGUGGCGAAGGCGGCUCACUGGCCCGGUACUGACGCUGAGGCGCGAAAGCGUGGGGAGCAAACAGG
Molecule: ribosomal RNA, 253 nt
Filed under: uncultured bacterium
Lineage: Bacteria
Description: partial 16S ribosomal RNA
Rfam family: Bacterial small subunit ribosomal RNA
Source: RNAcentral